Molecule: transfer RNA, 75 nt
Filed under: Bacteroidales bacterium
Lineage: Bacteria; Pseudomonadati; Bacteroidota; Bacteroidia; Bacteroidales
Description: tRNA-Trp
Rfam family: tRNA
About the family: Transfer RNA (tRNA) molecules are approximately 80 nucleotides in length.
Source: RNAcentral
AGGGUGAUCGUUCAAUGGUUAGGACUGCGGUCUCCAAAACCGCCAAUCUAGGUUCGAGUCCUAGUCGCCCUGCCA